RNAcentral lists this small RNA (40 nucleotides) under Arabidopsis thaliana (thale cress). RNAcentral describes it as "ATSL020130". The record is from RNAcentral. Lineage: Eukaryota; Viridiplantae; Streptophyta; Magnoliopsida; Brassicales; Brassicaceae.
UGAAGAGAGAGAGAGAGAGAGAGAGAGAGAGAGAGUGUGU